AACCAUCCCGAAUUACCGCUGUCGUACUACUUAGGUGUUCUCGGCAUGCCAGGCCUUAGUGCAUAUGCUGGAUUUUUCGAUGUGUCCAAGCCAAAAAAGGGCGACUAUCUGUUUAUCUCGGCAGCAUCAGGCGCCGUCGGACAACUUGUCGGGCAGCUUGCCAAGAUCACAGGUUCCUAUGUAGUUGGCAGUGCCGGUUCUGAUGAGAAGGUCAACCUCCUGAAAACAAAGUUUGGAUUCGACGAUGCCUUCAACUACAAGACGGAACAGGACCUCAACGCCGCACUAAAGAGGUGCUUCCCGGAGGGCAUUGACAUCUACUUCGACAAUGUGGGUGGUGCGAUAUUAGACGCUGCGCUACUCAACAUGAGGCUGCACGGGCGGGUGGCCAUGUGCGGGUUGAUUUCGCAGUACAACCUGGAGCUGCAUGAGGGCGUGCGCAACCUUGCCUGCGUCGUUACCAAGCGCGUCCGCAUAGAGGGGUUCAUCGUGACGGAGUACUUCGGCACCUACCGCAAGUUCGAAGAGGAGAUG
Molecule: ribosomal RNA, 534 nt
Filed under: Triticum aestivum (bread wheat)
Lineage: Eukaryota; Viridiplantae; Streptophyta; Magnoliopsida; Poales; Poaceae
Description: partial small subunit ribosomal RNA
Source: RNAcentral